CAGUCGCCGCGGGAAUAUGUAGGUGGCAAGCGUUGUCCGGAAUUAUUGGGCGUAAAGGGCUCGCAGGCGGUUUCUUAAGUCUGACGUGAAAGCCCCCGGCUCAACCGGGGAGGGUCAUUGGAAACUGGGAAACUUGAGUGCAGAAGAGGAGAGUGGAAUUCCACGUGUAGCGGUGAAAUGCGUAGAGAUGUGGAGGAACACCAGUGGCGAAGGCGACUCUCUGGUCUGUAACUGACGCUGAGGAGCGAAAGCGUGGGGAGCGAACAGGAUUAGAUACCCGCGUAGUCCCUGUCUCUUAUAC
RNAcentral lists this ribosomal RNA (301 nucleotides) under uncultured bacterium. RNAcentral's name for it is "partial 16S ribosomal RNA". It matches the Rfam family "Bacterial small subunit ribosomal RNA", at positions 509 to 807 of the family's 1533-position model. The record is from RNAcentral.